RNAcentral lists this long non-coding RNA (786 nucleotides) under Mus pahari (shrew mouse). RNAcentral's name for it is "lncRNA (MGP_PahariEiJ_G0002792.1)". Lineage: Eukaryota; Metazoa; Chordata; Mammalia; Rodentia; Muridae. The record is from RNAcentral.
AGGACAGAGAGGGGAGCCGGAGGAGCCGGGGCUGAGAAGUGAGCGGAUUCAGUCAAGACUGCCUCCCCCACGGCGCCUCCCAGCUUUGGCGGUUUCUCUGUCAUUUGUUUCCAUGCCCCGCCCUCGCCACGCUGCUCCGGCUCCUCCUCUCCGUUUCAGCUCGCCCCGGAUCCCUGCGGCUCACCCGGACCGCCAGACUCCGGGAUCCCUCCAAGCAGCGGCCUCAGGGAGGUGAAGCGCACGAAUUCCACUCCGGUGCCAAAGGCCAGGAUGAAGGAGGCGAGGGCCGCAGGAACCAGCAGUAGCGCGGGGGCCAUGACGAGCAGUGCAGAGCGGGCGGAGGAGGCGGGCUCAGGGUUCCCGCGACUGCUGACCCUGCCCAGGUCCCGCCCCUUUGAGGGAUGCUGGCGGCAAGGCGGGGACCGGGAGCGGCGCGUCACUGCGCGGAGCUUGGAAUCCCAGGCGUCGUCAGGGCAGCAGGUCUGCAGCUGCCCUUGUGGGUGGAAUCUCAGCGCUGUCAGUGUUCUCGAAGAAAGUGAAGACAGAGUCUCCCUUGCGUGGAAACAUAAAGAACAUCCUGUUUUUAAAGAAAAUCACUCCAUAUUCUCCAGCCUCAGUCCCUGGUGUGCUGGGGUUACAAACGGCACCACCCCGCCCAACAUAGAUUCUUGUAUAGUGACCGUUUUAGAGCUGGGUGUGGUGUCUCCUGCCUAUAAUUCCAGAACUCUGAAGGGUGAGGCAGGAGGAUUUGAAGUUAGCUUGAACUGUAUAUGGAGACCGGUUCCG